GACGAACGCUGGCGGCGUGCUUAACACAUGCAAGUCGAACGGAAAGGUCCUGCUUUUGUGGGGUGCUCGAGUGGCGAACGGGUGAGUAACACGUGAGUAACCUGCCCUUUACUUUGGGAUAACUUCAGGAAACUGGGGCUAAUACCGGAUAGGAGCUCCUGCUGCAUGGUGGGGGUUGGAAAGUUUCGGCGGUUGGGGAUGGACUCGCGGCUUAUCAGCUUGUUGGUGGGUUAGUGGCUUACCAAGGCUUUGACGGGUAGCCGGCCUGGGAGGGUGACCGGGCACAAUGGGACUGAGGUACGGCGCAGAAUCCUACGGGAGGCAGCAGUGGGGAAUAUUGCACAGUGGGCGGAAGCCUGAGGCAGCAACGUCGCGAGCGGGAUGACGGCCUUCGGGGUGUAAACAGAUGUCGCCUGUGACGAAGCGUGAGUGACGGUAAUGGGUAAAGAAGCACCGGCUAACUACGUG
RNAcentral lists this ribosomal RNA (468 nucleotides) under uncultured bacterium. RNAcentral's name for it is "partial 16S ribosomal RNA". It matches the Rfam family "Bacterial small subunit ribosomal RNA", at positions 28 to 507 of the family's 1533-position model. The record is from RNAcentral.